UACGUAGGGCGCGAGCGUUGUCCGGAUUUAUUGGGCGUAAAGAGCUCGUAGGCGGCUUGUUGCGUCGACCGUGAAAACCCGCGGCUUAACUGCGGGCUUGCGGUCGAUACGGGCGGGCUGGAGUUCGGUAGGGGAGACUGGAAUUCCUGGUGUAGCGGUGAAAUGCGCAGAUAUCAGGAGGAACACCGGUGGCGAAGGCGGGUCUCUGGGCCGAUACUGACGCUGAGACGCGAAAGCGUGGGGAGCAAACAGG
This 253-nucleotide ribosomal RNA is filed under the name uncultured bacterium. RNAcentral's name for it is "partial 16S ribosomal RNA". It matches the Rfam family "Bacterial small subunit ribosomal RNA", at positions 524 to 776 of the family's 1533-position model. The record is from RNAcentral.